This 656-nucleotide ribosomal RNA is filed under the name uncultured bacterium. RNAcentral's name for it is "bacterial SSU rRNA". It matches the Rfam family "Bacterial small subunit ribosomal RNA", at positions 135 to 809 of the family's 1533-position model. The record is from RNAcentral.
ACAGGGGGAUAACAGUCAGAAAUGGCUGCUAAUACCGCAUAAGCGCACAGAGCUGCAUGGCUCAGUGUGAAAAACUCCGGUGGUAUAAGAUGGACCCGCGUUGGAUUAGCUGGUUGGUGGGGUAACGGCCCACCAAGGCGACGAUCCAUAGCCGGCCUGAGAGGGUGAACGGCCACAUUGGGACUGAGACACGGCCCAGACUCCUGCGGGAGGCAGCAGUGGGGAAUAUUGCACAAUGGGGGAAACCCUGAUGCAGCGACGCCGCGUGAAGGAAGAAGUAUCUCGGUAUGUAAACUUCUAUCAGCAGGGAAGAUAGUGACGGUACCUGACUAAGAAGCCCCGGCUAACUACGUGCCAGCAGCCGCGGUAAUACGUAGGGGGCAAGCGUUAUCCGGAUUUACUGGGUGUAAAGGGAGCGUAGACGGUGUGGCAAGUCUGAUGUGAAAGGCAUGGGCUCAACCUGUGGACUGCAUUGGAAACUGUCAUACUUGAGUGCCGGAGGGGUAAGCGGAAUUCCUAGUGUAGCGGUGAAAUGCGUAGAUAUUAGGAGGAACACCAGUGGCGAAGGCGGCUUACUGGACGGUAACUGACGUUGAGGCUCGAAAGCGUGGGGAGCAAACAGGAUUAGAUACCCUGGUAGUCCACGCCGUAAACGA